GACCUUAUGAAAUAUUUUUGAGAUUUAAUGCUAGACUUGUCUAAUUUUUGCAAACCCAUUUCUUCUUAAAAGUUAAAUCACUAUACUUGUUGAUGAAAUAAGUAGUCAAAAAUGUCAGAUUCAUAGUCUUGAGUAUCGGAUUCUUAACAUUUACUUGGCCAGGUAGUCUCUUGGUCAUUUCCUUUAUGUAUAUCCUAUCUUGAUAGAAAUAUUUUCAUAUAUAAUCAACUAACAUCAUGAAACAUUCAUAUUAGUUGCUCCUCUGUUUUUGUAUAAUUGUUGAAUGUACAAAAGUAGAGAAAAUAUUUUGCGCUCUCUCUCUCUCUCUCUUUCUCUCUCUCUCUCUCUCACAGAGUCUAUCAACUCUCUCCAUCACGGCUGCUCUGAAAUCAACUCUCUCUCUCUCUCAUAGCUAAAGCAAGACCCAGUCUGCAAUGAAGACACGGAGUGUGUUGGUUUUGUUAGAAUUGGAAGUGAAGAUCAGAUCAUUGUGGCUGGUACAAUGAAGCAACUUCAAUUGCAUGUUUUUUUCCUAUCAAAUAGUACUGUAGGAGUGUGCAACUACUCAAAUUUUGACGUGUUAUUAUGUAAAAAAUUAAACUCUUCAAUAUUUUGUGCUGAAAGUAGUAACUUUUGAAUAUGUUGAAUACUUAAGACUACUUGAAUACUUAAAAAACAUUUUGUUGUU
Long non-coding RNA from Humulus lupulus (European hop), 688 nucleotides. RefSeq lists it as uncharacterized. The record is from RefSeq and is a predicted model, not a curated record. The transcript has 2 exons. NCBI's taxonomy places the organism in Eukaryota, Viridiplantae, Streptophyta, Magnoliopsida, Rosales, Cannabaceae.